Molecule: transfer RNA, 94 nt
Filed under: Bombardia bombarda
Lineage: Eukaryota; Fungi; Ascomycota; Sordariomycetes; Sordariales; Lasiosphaeriaceae
Rfam family: tRNA
About the family: Transfer RNA (tRNA) molecules are approximately 80 nucleotides in length. Their secondary structure includes four short double-helical elements and three loops (D, anti-codon, and T loops).
Source: Rfam by way of RNAcentral
UCGGGUAUGGUGUAGCGGUAACAUCGUUGACUCUCACUUCUAACACAAGUGUCUGAUCACUCAACAUCCCCGGGUUCGACUCCCGGUAUCCGAA